UGGCUGACCCACAGGGAGAGGUCCUUCCUCAGGCCCCAGCUCAGGGCCCUGCCCCGAGGGCCCGGGAUCCCCACAGUGCAGCAGCCCAGGACACGACUCUGUACCGGCUGGAGCUCGUUGUCUGGACGCUCUUGGGCUCCAUCCUGCUCGGCCAUCAGUGUUGUCGUCCCCCUCAUCGACGCUGUCUCUGCUGUCUCCGCCAUCUCUGCUGUGUCCGCCGUGUCUGCUGUUGCUGCUGUCUCUGCCUAGCUGAAAUCAAUGCAUCUGCUCAGCUGCUUCACCACUUGAGUUAUUUACAGCUUUGAUCUAAGUGAG
Molecule: long non-coding RNA, 315 nt
Filed under: Equus asinus (donkey)
Lineage: Eukaryota; Metazoa; Chordata; Mammalia; Perissodactyla; Equidae
Description: lncRNA (ENSEASG00005023587.1)
Source: RNAcentral